UAACACUAUCGCGGUCGGCGCGAAAAUUUUUCAUUUCGGAUUUCUAAAGUGCGUAGAAAAUUCUCCGAUCGAGACAGUGGGUGGUUCCGUGGAAAAUUGAUUUUUACAUAGUUUUUAUACCAGCUUUUCACAUAGUUUUAUAGUUCAAUUAAACCUAUUUAAAUCUAAAAGUAUCAAGAUGUCACAACUGAUGAAGAAAAGAUUUCCAUCGAUUACCAGCAUUGAUGUACAGUCUGACGGAAAUACGUCAUUCUUGCGCGCUGCCCGAAAUGGCCAAUUGGACAAAGUUCUAGAACAUCUGAAAUCAAAUAUCGACAUAAAUACUAGC
RNAcentral lists this long non-coding RNA (328 nucleotides) under Leptinotarsa decemlineata (Colorado potato beetle). RNAcentral describes it as "uncharacterized LOC111510281, transcript variant X4". The record is from RNAcentral. Lineage: Eukaryota; Metazoa; Arthropoda; Insecta; Coleoptera; Chrysomelidae.